Molecule: transfer RNA, 69 nt
Filed under: Bos taurus (domestic cattle)
Lineage: Eukaryota; Metazoa; Chordata; Mammalia; Artiodactyla; Bovidae
Also listed under: 4 other names
Rfam family: tRNA
About the family: Transfer RNA (tRNA) molecules are approximately 80 nucleotides in length. Their secondary structure includes four short double-helical elements and three loops (D, anti-codon, and T loops).
Source: Rfam by way of RNAcentral
CCUGGUGGCCUAGAGGUUAAAGCGUCUGCCUGCAAUGCAGGAGACCUGGGUUCGAUCCCUGGGUCAGGA